This 221-nucleotide ribosomal RNA is filed under the name uncultured bacterium. RNAcentral describes it as "partial 16S ribosomal RNA". It matches the Rfam family "Bacterial small subunit ribosomal RNA", at positions 524 to 743 of the family's 1533-position model. The record is from RNAcentral.
UACGAAGGGUGCAAGCGUUACUCGGAAUUACUGGGCGUAAAGCGUGCGUAGGUGGUUUGUUAAGUCUGAUGUGAAAGCCCUGGGCUCAACCUGGGAAUUGCAUUGGAUACUGGCAGGCUAGAGUGCGGUAGAGGGUAGUGGAAUUCCCGGGUGUAGCAGUGAAAUGCGUAGAGAUCGGGAGGAACAUCCGUGGCGAAGGCGACUACCUGGACCAGCACUGA